UACGUAGGGGGCAAGCGUUGUCCGGAUUUAUUGGGCGUAAGAGCGUGUAGGCGGCCAGGUAGGUCUGCUGUGAAAACUCGAGGCUUAACCUCGAGCUGUCGGCGGAAACCAUCUGGCUAGAGUCCGGAAGAGGAGAAUGGAAUUCCCGGUGUGGCGGUGAAAUGCGCAGAUAUCGGGAAGAACACCCGUGGCGAAGGCGGUUCUCUGGGACGGUACUGACGCUGAGACGCGAAAGCGUGGGGAGCGAACAGG
RNAcentral lists this ribosomal RNA (252 nucleotides) under uncultured bacterium. Its description in RNAcentral is "partial 16S ribosomal RNA". It matches the Rfam family "Bacterial small subunit ribosomal RNA", at positions 524 to 776 of the family's 1533-position model. The record is from RNAcentral.